This is a long non-coding RNA of Balaenoptera acutorostrata (minke whale), 2251 nucleotides long. RefSeq lists it as uncharacterized. The record is from RefSeq and is a predicted model, not a curated record. The transcript has 2 exons. NCBI's taxonomy places the organism in Eukaryota, Metazoa, Chordata, Mammalia, Artiodactyla, Balaenopteridae.
CGGGGUAGGGGCAGGAGGGUGGGAUGAGGAAGAGGGCGAGAGCACGAAGCCAGUUUAGUCUGUUUCAGGCCAUCUGUAACCCGCUCUUGCUGCCUGCGCCUUUCUUCUGGGCAUGCAGGGUAAUGGAUAGGACUUGGCAUUCAGCAAACAGUGAAUGAAUGAAUGCAUCUCAGUGGCAAAACUGUUGUGUUUGAAUCUUCUCAACUCGAUUUCUUUGUCACUGGGCACCAUAAUAAAACCAGAGUGUCGCAGGAUAUUAGCUCCUGAAAGCCAAAGGCUGCUGCCAGCAUUUCUCUAGCUCUGAGAAGUGGAGCUUGGCAUCAGCCUGUGAAAGUGGGCUGGCCUAAUUCUUGAAAUACAAAAUAAAGCUAGUUCAUAUUAACACAACUUCUUUGCCAGCAGUUUUUCCCCUGGGAGCUUGCGAUGUCUGACUGGUGGUCGUGGAUAAAUUCCCCAAUGAAGGCUCGCCUACUGCAGGGAUCACCCUGGGCUGAGCUUACCUGCCAAGGAAGGCAGCCGGACCGAAGGCCCCUACUUGGCCUCUACCUGGAGAGGACAGGAAUGUGGCUCAGUCUCGGAUUGGGUCUCUGGGGACGUGCCCCUCUCGUCCCCUCCCCGAGGCUGACCUCGGCAGUUCCUGGCGGAGAUCUUAAUGUCGACUCAGAGGCACGUUUCCCUCUGCGGCUUUCCGGCUGAGUGAGCCUCUCAAAGGAAGGUACAUAUCUGCCCUAUCAGAUUGGGAAAAAAAAGCUCGAUUUUUUUUUUCAUGCAAAACCAUGAUAGAAUGUUUAUUUUUUGUUUAAGUUUGCAGGUUUGUCUCCAUCUUUGUCCCAGAAUAAGGUAGACGAAUGGCCUGUGAGGGAGCCUCGUGCAGACUGGGCCGGCUGGUGCUACAGAUGCUGUUAGUUGGGUUCAAAGCUGUCACUGAGGUCUCUCCUCAGAGAGCAGCAGAUCCCUCUAGCUGCAGGUGUGCAACAGGACAGAUACCAUUCACUGCUUCCAUUCUUCACUCACUCUGCCAAAGAGGUUGUGCCACCCACCCCUGGACCUGCUGCUGCCUUCUGUGCUGCUGCUGGCUACACUGCAACUCCUCUUGCUCCACGGCUUCCUGCAUGGUACAGUCCACCCACUUUUGGGUUCACAGAUGGAUGAUCUCUUGGGUUUCCUGGUAUGAUGUGCAGAGGUACUCUUUUUUGGUUAGUUAUAGAUGUCUGAUUAAUUAUAAAUCAAAGGGGAGAGAAUGCUGACAUCACUCUCAGUAAUAACUUUAAAUGUAAGUGGAUCAAACUCUUCAAUCAAAAGAUAGUGUCAGAAACAAACAAACAAACAAAAUAAUCCAACUAGAUACUGUACUUUAGAUCCAAAGACAGAAACAGGUUAAAAGUGAAAGGACCAAAAAAAAAAAAAAAGUGAAAGGACAGAAAAGGAUACUCUGUGCAAACAGUAACCAAAGACAGCAGGGGCAGCUAUAAUAAUAUCAGACAAAAUAGAAUUAUUUAAAUCAAAAAAGGUUACAAAAGACAAUGAAGGAUAUUAUAUAUUAAUAAAAGAUUCAAUAGAACAAGAAAAUAAAACAAUUAUAAACAUCAUUAAUGUAUCUAAUAACAGGACAUCAAAAUACGUAAAGCAAAAAAAUGACAGAAGAAACAGACAGUUUUAAAAUAAUAGUUGGAAAAUUCAAUAUCUCAUUCUCCAGAAUGGAUAGAAAAGAUAGGUAGAAGAUAAGUACAAAAAUAGAGGACUUAUGAUGGACUUCCCUCGUGGUGCAGUGGUUAAGAAUCUGCCUGCCAAUGCAGGGGACACAGGUUCAAUCCCUGGUCUGGGAAGAUCCCACAUGCUGCGGAACAACUAAGCCUGCAUGCCACAACUACCGAGCCUGCACUCUAGAGCCCACGCACCACAACUACUGAGCCCAUGCACCACAACUACUGAAGCCUGCGUGCCCUAGAGCCUGUGUGCUGCAACUACUGAGCCCAUAUGCCUCAACUACUGAAGCCCACGCGCCCUAGAGCUUGUGUGCCACAACUACUGAGCCCACAUGCCUCAACUACUGAAGCCUGUGCGCUCUAGGGCCUGCAUGCUGCAACUACUGAAGCCCAUGCAGCUAGAGCCUGUGCUUCACAAUAAGAGAAGCCACUGCAGUGAGAAGCCUGUGCACGACAAUGAAGAGUAGCCCCUGCUUGCCGCAACUAGAGAAAGCCCGCGUGCAGCAACAAAGACCCAAUGCAGCCAAAAAAAAAAAAAAGACAAA